Molecule: transfer RNA, 87 nt
Filed under: Povalibacter sp.
Lineage: Bacteria; Pseudomonadati; Pseudomonadota; Gammaproteobacteria; Steroidobacterales; Steroidobacteraceae
Also listed under: 4 other names
Description: tRNA-Leu
Rfam family: tRNA
About the family: Transfer RNA (tRNA) molecules are approximately 80 nucleotides in length.
Source: RNAcentral
GCCGGUGUGGCGGAAUUGGUAGACGCAGCAGACUCAAAAUCUGCCAUGGGCAACCAUGUGUCGGUUCGACUCCGACCACCGGCACCA